UUUCCGUAGGUGGACCUGCGGAAGGAUCAUUCAUAAUAAAGUGUUUUAUGGCACUUUUUAAAAAUCCAUAUCCACCUUGUGUGCAAUGUUAGAUCUCGUCAAUCUUGGCGAGAUUUUUAUACAUCAACUCAUUUUUUAACUAAUUUGUCUGAAAAAUAUUAUGAAUACUUAAUUCAAAAUACAACUUUCAACAACGGAUCUCUUGGCUCUC
RNAcentral lists this unclassified non-coding RNA (211 nucleotides) under plant metagenome. RNAcentral describes it as "partial contains small subunit ribosomal RNA, internal transcribed spacer 1, and 5.8S ribosomal RNA". The record is from RNAcentral.